This 1292-nucleotide ribosomal RNA is filed under the name Corynebacterium sp. HMSC063F04. RNAcentral's name for it is "bacterial LSU rRNA". It matches the Rfam family "Bacterial large subunit ribosomal RNA", at positions 1 to 1237 of the family's 2925-position model. The record is from RNAcentral. Lineage: Bacteria; Bacillati; Actinomycetota; Actinomycetes; Mycobacteriales; Corynebacteriaceae.
GUGUUGUGUUGUAAGGGCGCAUGGUGGAUGCCUUGGCAUAGUAGGCCGAUGAAGGACGUGAGAGGCUGCGAUAGGCCUCGGGGAGCUGCCAACUGAGCGUUGAUCCGAGGGUGUCCGAAUGGGGAAACCUGGCCGUCGUUGUGGGCGGUCGCCGUUAGAUGAAUUCAUAGUCUAAUUGGUGGUUACGCGGGGAAGUGAAACAUCUCAGUACCCGUAGGAGUAGAAAACAAUUGUGAUUCCGUUAGUAGUGGCGAACGAACGUGGAUGAGGCUAAACCGCGUGCGUGUGAUACCUGGCAGGGUUUGCGUGCGUGGGGUUGUGGGGAUGCACUUUGCAGGGUCUGCUAGUCCUGCGUUGUUUUGUGUGGGUGUAGCGGAAGUGGAUUGGAAUGUCCUGCCGUAGACGGUGAGAGUCCGGUACGUGAAACACCCGUGCGUGCAAUUGGUGUGUUGCCCGAGUAGCAGCGGGCUCGUGGAAUCUGCUGUGAAUCUGCCGGGACCACCCGGUAAGCCUAAAUACCUGCUUAUGACCGAUAGCGGAUUAGUACCGUGAGGGAAUGGUGAAAAGUACCCCGGGAGGGGAGUGAAAUAGUACCUGAAACCAUGUGCUUACAAUCCGUCAGAGCCCUUUUUUGUGGGGUGAUGGCGUGCCUUUUGAAGAAUGAGCCUGCGAGUCAGCGGCAUGUCGCGAGGUUAACCCGUUUGGUGGGGUAGUCGUAGCGAAAGCGAAUACUAACUAGUGUGUUUUUUAGUGGCAUGUCCUGGACCCGAAGCGGGGUGAUCUACCCAUGGCCAGUGUGAAGCAGAGGUAAGACUCUGUGGAGGCGCGAACCCACUUAGGUUGAAAACUGAGGGGAUGAGCUGUGGGUAGGGGUGAAAGGCCAAUCAAACUCCGUGAUAGCUGGUUCUCCCCGAAAUGCAUUUAGGUGCAGCGUCGUGUGUUUCCUCCUGGAGGUAGAGCUACUGGUUGGUUUAGCGGGACUAUCAUCUUAGCGACAUCAGCCAAACUCCGAAUGCCGGUGAGGUCAGAGCACGGCAGUGAGACUGCGGGGGAUAAGCUUCGUAGUCGAGAGGGAAACAGCCCAGAUCGCCGGCUAAGGCCCCUAAGGGUGUGCUAAGUGGAAAAGGAUGUGGGAUCGCGAAGACAACCAGGAGGUUGGCUUAGAAGCAGCCAUCCUUGAAAGAGUGCGUAAUAGCUCACUGGUCGAGUGGUUCUGCGCCGACAAUGUAGUGGGGCUCAAGUACACCGCCGAAGCCGCGGCAAUCACCUUUUUGGUGGUUGGGUAGGGGAGC